CAAAACAUUAAGACAGACAAGCUUUGUAAAAUUUAAAGUUAGAAGCAACAUUCAUUAAUAUAAUGGAAUUUAAUAUUUGCAACUUAAGACAAGUGAUAGUAGGGGGUGUAGUAGGUACUAUGUGUGGAGCUGAGAAAGCCACAUAAUGGGCCCCUCAAGUAAUGACUAAUAACCGUACCCAGAGGAAUAUUCAAAUGUAUAAAAGAUACGCAUCCACAGCUUACAUAGAUCAAUUUAAUAACCACACUUAAUAAGAGCAUGUUUUUCCCACAACCCUCCCCCAUCCCAUAUUGACAUUCAAAUAACCUAGGCAAAAACUUGUCUGCAGUAUAAUUAUAAAGGAAUAGAGCAGCACACAGAAUGUUGGGGGGGGAACAAACAAACAAAAAACCUUUGCAAACAGUGUCUGCUGCAUAGCCAGGCACAACAACAAAACCUAUAACAAAGUGUACCUACUUGUGCACUUCUGUAAAUGUGGUAUACAUGGUACAAUGCACCAAAACACCUCAAUCAACUACUUAAAAGGGAAUUUCAAAAACAUUUGAAAUAAAACUGGCAACAUAUUUUUCUUUUAAAACAGAACUGAAUGCAGAUUGUUGUCACCAAACCAAAAUGUCAUAUAGCUGACACUUAACGUGUAAGCGGACAUGUUUGUGCAUUUAAGUACUUCUACGCUUACUGGUAUUAUAUAAAUUGUUUGUUAUGUUACUUAUGGUUUCCCUUGCCUGGAUUAUUUGGGCUAUUCCGUACACUGAUUACACUCAAUCAUCUUCUGUUAUUUCUGACAAUCCAAUUCCCCUAGCAAAAUUAGUAUAUAUCAGUAGUCUUAAGUUAGAAAUGUGCCAUUGCAUUAUAUUGACUGUAUUUUUAAUAUGCAUUAAGGAACCUCCACCACCCAAAAAAAAAAAAAACUAUUUAAAAAAAAUUAAAGGUGUCACAGCAUGCCUCUCUAAUUUUGGGAGAGGGAAGAAAACAAAAAACAACAAACACCCAUAUAAAACAGAGUAUACUGGACUAAGUUUACUAAAGCGGUCGUGAAAAAUGAAGAGUAUUUUCUUUUUCCCUAACAAAAUGAGGCAAUUGAGAAAACCAAUGGAAUGUCCCUACUGAAAGUAAAAUUAUUCUUUAUAAAUAACAUUGAUUCCGUGCAUGUUCCAGUAUGGAGCACUUAACUUUUUGGUCAUCUCAAGAAGGCAUUGGUAGUUCUUGAGGAGUACAAGUAAACAGGCCAAAAAGAACACAAUAUUGAGAAUUCGGUAGAACAUAUGAAAUGUCAGUCUUUACACUUGGCUUGAUAUAUACAUAUACAAAAAUAUAUGCAUACAUUUUCUGCUUCACACAGGAUCUGGCAACAAUAACAAAUGCCCUAUUCUACAGCACCAUCUAUAAUAAAGGCACUUUUUCAUAGAACUAUUUUGCUUAGUAUAGCACAUCUAUAUUUGUUUAUAUGCUUGUCUAAGAAAUUCUUGAAGUAAUUCUGACAUUUGUAGAAAGUGAAAUCAUGCAUUUUUAAUGUUGAAGAUAUUCUGGACAGUUAGGAAUACAAACAGGCACAGGCAAUAUUCACAUUUAUGUGAAUGCGUGUUUUGUUUUUUUAAAUUUCUGAGAAGGUGAAUACCAGAGACAUUUUCUAGUGAAACUAGUUAAGAGAACCAGUAUUUGCUAAACUCACAUAAAGCAUUUAGAAAAGUAACAGAACAUCUCCUUUCCUAGUGCAGCAGAGGGGGUAACAUUGUGACACCUAGGGUUUGAUUUGGGGGUGCAAAAAGUAUAUUCUGGCUUAAAGGGACACUCUAGGAACAUUGACAACUUCAUCUCAUUGAGUGGGUCUAGGUACAUUCUCCAUGUCUCCUUAAUAAUGCAAUCUAAAAGAUUGCAGUUUUAAAGAAAAUGAAAGGUUUCUAUUACAAGGUUAAGACUGGCUUUACAGGCUACCAGGCAGACACUAGAGGCCCUUAUUGCCGUUUCAUGGAAUCUGACUACGUGAAAGGACGCUGAACAUCCUCACCCUUUGCAUGAGGAUGUCCAGUGUUUUGCAAAAUCCCAUAGGAAAGCAGUGAGUAAAUGCUUUCCUAUGUGGAAGACCUAAUGCGGACAGAGCUCACUAUUCGUAUGCGUUAAGUUGUCCUGGUGCAGACUGAGGAGGUGAAGACUAAUCCACCACUGAGGAAAUUUUUACCCUUUAUUUGCCCGGAGGGGUGAAGGGGCGCAGAGUAACAGUUUAGUGUUAGGAAUAAAAGCUGCAUUCCUAGCACUAUAGUGUUCCUUUAAGAGCAAUAAUUUGUUCCGACGUUAAUAUUGUACAAUUGGCAAAACAAAUUCAGCUUCUGAUUAGCAAGAAAAUGCAAAGUGUACAUUUACUUACACAGUAACUAUCACAUAAUCGGAGGAGCUGUCCACUACACAAAUUGCACAUUUCCUUUUGAUAUAGAAUAUUCAUAAGAAGCACAAAAAUAUACAGCAUGUAUGUCAUAUGGAGCAGCACUUCAGUUACAGCAGCUGAGAGAACCCAUGUGCAGGAAUGUACAAAUAUAUUGCAUUAAAAAAAAAAGGUUAUCUACCUUAAGUGAAAUUAAGACCGUGAAGCUACGACAGACAUGAGAAUAUAGAGAUUUGGAUCUUUUCAAUAUUUUUUUUUUUUUUUUUAAUGACAAAAACAGAGUGUGUAUACACACAGCAGUCAUGGACUUUGCUGCUGAUCAGACACGAAAACAAGAAAAUUUAUGACAUAUGCCAAAACUAGGAGUCAUGAGCACAUCCACAGCUAUGAACUAACACCAAAUAUAGCUUAUUAAAAAAAUAGCAUAUCUAUUAAAUGGCAUUGAAUUAAACCUGUGAAAAUAAGGGAAUGUGCAAGAACCAAUACAAUUUGUGGAUGAAAUGCUAACCAAAAUAGUUAAACUUGUGCCCAAAGCAAGACAGGAAUGGUUGCUGUAGGGGCCAAAAAUGUAAAAUAGAUACUUCGUAUUAUAGGAUCACUAUAGGGUCAGGAACACAAACAUGUAUUCCUGACCCUAUAGUGCUAAACCCACCAUAUAGGUACCUCCCCC
This 3050-nucleotide long non-coding RNA is filed under the name Pelobates cultripes (western spadefoot toad). Lineage: Eukaryota; Metazoa; Chordata; Amphibia; Anura; Pelobatidae. The record is from RNAcentral.